UCGAUGGCUGCUAAUAUGCAGAAAUGUGGCAGAAGUGACUUGGGGCCAGUUUCGAGGCCCUGGCCUUAAGGAACGGGCAGCCUCUACUCCCUGUCUCUUGGAAUCCAGCUGCCAUGUUGUGAGGAUGCUCAAGCAACUCUGUGGAGAAGCCCUUGUGGAAAGGAGCCAGUUCCUCAGCCAGUUCUGGAAAGCGUUGAGCCAAAUACCGAAGAAGCAACAGAUAGGGAAGCGCAAGACAGAAGCAGAAUGUCUCCUCGAGGAGAUUUCACCGUCGUAGAUUUUCAAACCAAGCUGCUGUUGGAAUAAGACUGCCCUCCUGGUUCUUGGGAUAGAAAAAUCAGAGUUAAGGUACUGAAUGCAGUCCCAGGAGCAAGCUUUCGUUCCCUCGCCUUCUACAUGCACGGCCAAACGCCCCGUCGGCCGUGGAGGUGUCAUGCUGCAUCCCCCUAAGGAGAACGACCUUGAGCCACGGCUGCCGCUGCACCCCCAGCCUGGGGCAGGCUGAGCCCCCGGGAACUGUAUGAGGAAGGGGGAUGGUGGUGUUUCCAGCCCUGCUGGUGGACGGUCCCCUCUUCUGCACUCCCCGGAGAUAUGUGACCCAAGUUCCCCUGUGGAAGGGCAGUGCCUGGAUGUCCCUCCCACACGGGUGGGUGGAAUGGCCCAGGAGGAAGCCUUGCCCACACAGACCUUAAUUACAAAUACUUGCUUUCUAGGAAUAAACCACUUUGUCUAACACUU
Non-coding RNA from Leptonychotes weddellii (Weddell seal), 738 nucleotides. The record is from RefSeq and is a predicted model, not a curated record. Lineage: Eukaryota; Metazoa; Chordata; Mammalia; Carnivora; Phocidae.